Molecule: ribosomal RNA, 240 nt
Filed under: uncultured bacterium
Lineage: Bacteria
Description: partial 16S ribosomal RNA
Rfam family: Bacterial small subunit ribosomal RNA
Source: RNAcentral
UACGGAGGGUGCGAGCGUUGUCCGGAAUCACUGGGCGUAAAGGGCGCGUAGGCGGCGCGGGAAGUCAACGGUGAAAGCUUGGGGCUCAACUCCGAGUCGGCCGUCGAUACUCCCGUGCUCGAGCACUGUAGAGGCAGAUGGAAUUCCGGGUGUAGCGGUGGAAUGCGUAGAGAUCCGGAAGAACACCGGUGGCGAAGGCGGUCUGACUGGGCAGUUGCUGGACGCUGAUGCGCGACAGCG